AAGUCGAGGGGUAUGCAUCUUCGGAUGCAGAGACCGGCGCACGGGUGCGUAACGCGUAUGCAAUCUGCCUUUCACAGAGGGAUAGCCCGGAGAAAUUUGGAUUAAUACCUCAUAGUAUUAUGGAAGGGCAUCCUUUUAUAAUUAAAGUCACAACGGUGAAAGAUGAGCAUGCGUCCCAUUAGUUAGUUGGUAAGGUAACGGCUUACCAAGACUUCGAUGGGUAGGGGUCCUGAGAGGGAGAUCCCCCACACUGGUACUGAGACACGGACCAGACUCCUACGGGAGGCAGCAGUGAGGAAUAUUGGUCAAUGGGCGCAAGCCUGAACCAGCCAUGCCGCGUGCAGGAUGACGGUCCUAUGGAUUGUAAACUGCUUUUGUACGAGAAGAAACACCCCUACGAGUAGGGACUUGACGGUAUCGUAAGAAUAAGGAUCGGCUAACUCCGUGCCAGCAGCCGCGGUAAUACGGAGGAUCCAAGCGUUAUCCGGAAUCAUUGGGUUUAAAGGGUCCGUAGGCGGUCUUGUAAGUCAGUGGUGAAAGCCCAUCGCUCAACGAUGGAACGGCCAUUGAUACUGCAGGACUUGAAUUACUGGGAAGUAACUAGAAUAUGUAGUGUAGCGGUGAAAUGCUUAGAGAUUACAUGGAAUACCAAUUGCGAAGGCAGGUUACUACCGGUGGAUUGACGCUGAUGGACGAAAGCGUGGGUAGCGAACAGGAUUAGAUACCCUGGUAGUCCACGCCGUAAACGAUGGAUACUAGCUGUU
This 764-nucleotide ribosomal RNA is filed under the name uncultured bacterium. RNAcentral describes it as "bacterial SSU rRNA". It matches the Rfam family "Bacterial small subunit ribosomal RNA", at positions 59 to 824 of the family's 1533-position model. The record is from RNAcentral.